CAACUUACCACUUGUUUGACACUGAAUGAGAUAUAUUCCCACCACUGAC
This 49-nucleotide small nucleolar RNA is filed under the name Euglena gracilis. Its description in RNAcentral is "partial Eg-m20.1 box C/D methylation-guide snoRNA". Lineage: Eukaryota; Euglenozoa; Euglenophyceae; Euglenales; Euglenaceae. The record is from RNAcentral.